Molecule: non-coding RNA, 416 nt
Organism: Pantoea dispersa
Lineage: Bacteria; Pseudomonadati; Pseudomonadota; Gammaproteobacteria; Enterobacterales; Erwiniaceae
Source: Rfam
AGGUUUUUCAGCGUGGUGUUGAGCGGCUUAAUGUGCAGGCUGUUGUUAUUCAGCACCACGUUGCCGCUGGCGUGCACCAGUUCCCCAUCCAGCGGAAUAUCCAGGUUGAGCGAACCACGCACGUUGCCGCCAAUCUGCAGCUGCUCCAGCGCCGCACCCAGCGUGGAUUUGAGCGGCGUGCGGGCGAAAUAGUCGGCGAUAUCUUUACCUUCGCCGCUCAAAUCACCGUCAAUGAUCAGCUUCUCUUUCAGGUAAUCCGGGAUUACCGCACUGACGUUGCGCGCGUCCACCGCGCCCAGCCGGGUUUGCGCCGCCUUCAUCCACAGACCGUCGUUGAUAAAAUCGAGGUCGAUAUCGAGAUUUUCCAGCGCUGGCCAGCCUGGCUGGAACUGGAAGGUAGCAUUGCGUACCGGCAC